RNAcentral lists this ribosomal RNA (449 nucleotides) under uncultured bacterium. RNAcentral's name for it is "partial 16S ribosomal RNA". It matches the Rfam family "Bacterial small subunit ribosomal RNA", at positions 29 to 523 of the family's 1533-position model. The record is from RNAcentral.
AACGAACGCUGGCGGCAUGCCUAACACAUGCAAGUCGAACGAGAUCUUCGGGUCUAGUGGCGCACGGGUGCGUAACGCGUGGGAAUCUGCCCUUUGGUUCGGAAUAACAGUUGGAAACGACUUCUCAUACCGGAUGAUGACGAAAGUCCAAAGAUUUAUCGCCAGAGGAUGAGCCCGCGUAGGAUUAGCUAGUUGGUGUGGUAAAGGCGCACCAAGGCGACGAUCCUUAGCUGGUCUGAGAGGAUGAUCAGCCACACUGGGACUGAGACACGGCCCAGACUCCUACGGGAGGCAGCAGUGGGGAAUAUUGGACAAUAGGCGAAAGCCUGAUCCAGCAAUGCCGCGUGAGUGAUGAAGGCCUUAGGGUUGUAAAGCUCUUUUACCCUGGAUGAUAAUGACAGUACCGGGAGAAUAAGCUCCGGCUAACUCCGUGCCAGCCGCCGCAGUAA